This is a long non-coding RNA of Cryptomeria japonica (Japanese cedar), 744 nucleotides long. RefSeq lists it as uncharacterized. NCBI's taxonomy places the organism in Eukaryota, Viridiplantae, Streptophyta, Pinopsida, Cupressales, Cupressaceae. The transcript is spliced from 2 exons. The record is from RefSeq and is a predicted model, not a curated record.
UCACGUUGUGAAUAAAAUAAUUUGAAAGCUUAUUGCAAAGUGCACAUGGAUCUCUGCUACUAUCAUUUCAUGGCUGCUUUUUAUGAGACAAUGGGCACUGCCCACCUUUAAUUUUUAUGCUCUUGUCAUAGUCAUUGCCAUUACUGGACAAGUGAAUAUAUUGUAUGCUUUCUGACACAGACAGUCAGACAGAUCCUGUGCUCAGAAUAUGCCAUUGGCAUCUUCAUAUGCUCAUUGGAUUCAAGCAUAUGCUAUGCUACCUAUAUCAACACAAGGAUUCAACACUUCUCUGCCUUGAGGCUCCCAAUGGAACCUCCUCAGGAAAUUUUCAUCUUCCUCACAUGCUCAACAAUUCCAAGGUUGCUGAUUAUUUCAGCAGAGGUUUAUUUUCUAUGAAUGAAGAUUGUGAGUGUUCUCAUUUGAGAAUUUUCUGCAGGGCAACUCCUACACUUUGGCAUGAUAUUCUUGGACUGGAUUUUUUUUACCUUCCCAUCAUAACAUUUGUAUGAUGGGGAAUAUACUGAAAUCACAGCGCACAGAUAGAUUAGAAAUGGAUCAAUAAAGUGUCAUCUAUAUAUUGUUUUUUUUUGGUUGAAUUACUGCUGAUGUAAGCGGUAAAGCUAUUCAGCAUUCUGGAUGAAUAAUAUCUCUCAUACUGCCUCUGGUUUUGUUUUAGUUUGAUAGUUUAUGAAAGAAAAAGUCAUGGACUAAACAAUUAUUUCUAAAGAAAAGAGUGUUUUUUAA